This 504-nucleotide ribosomal RNA is filed under the name Triticum aestivum (bread wheat). RNAcentral describes it as "partial small subunit ribosomal RNA". Lineage: Eukaryota; Viridiplantae; Streptophyta; Magnoliopsida; Poales; Poaceae. The record is from RNAcentral.
AUGUGUCCCGGCGGCAGGUACGCGGGCCUUGACCUCCCCGCCGGCGCCGGCGCGGGGGACCUGCGGCCGGCGUUCGACGUGCUGGACGCGGACCACGACGGCCGCAUCAGCCGCGACGACCUCAAGACCUUCUACGCCAACGCCGGCGCCACCGACGAGCGCUUCGACGACGACGACAUCGAGGCCAUGAUCGCCGCCGCCGACGCCGACCUCGACGGCUUCGUGCAGUACCACGAGUUCGAGGGCCUCCUUGGCCGCGCAGCUAAGGCGGGGGCGGACAGCGGCUGCCGCUCCGCGAUGGAGGACGCCUUCCGGCUAAUGGACCGCGACGGGGACGGCAAGGUCGGGUUCGAGGACCUCAAGGCCUACCUCGGGUGGGCCGGGAUGCCGGUCGCCGACGACGAGAUCCGCGCCAUGAUAAGUAUGGCUGCUGACGACGACGGCGGCGUGGGGCUCGAGGCGCUCGCCAGAAUACUCGCCGUGGACUUUGAUGCCAUCGUCUGA